GGAAAUGUAGCUUAAUGAGAGUACUUAUCUAGCAAAUAGGAGAGCCUGAGUUCAAACUUAGUUGUUGCUA
RNAcentral lists this transfer RNA (70 nucleotides) under Dipodomys ordii (Ord's kangaroo rat). It matches the Rfam family "tRNA". Rfam says of the family: Transfer RNA (tRNA) molecules are approximately 80 nucleotides in length. Their secondary structure includes four short double-helical elements and three loops (D, anti-codon, and T loops). Further hydrogen bonds mediate the characteristic L-shaped molecular structure. tRNAs have two regions of fundamental functional importance: the anti-codon, which is responsible for specific mRNA codon recognition, and the 3' end, to which the tRNAs corresponding amino acid is attached (by aminoacyl-tRNA synthetases). tRNAs cope with the degeneracy of the genetic code in two manners: having more than one tRNA (with a specific anti-codon) for a particular amino acid; and 'wobble' base-pairing, i.e. permitting non-standard base-pairing at the 3rd anti-codon position. Lineage: Eukaryota; Metazoa; Chordata; Mammalia; Rodentia; Heteromyidae. The record is from Rfam by way of RNAcentral.